This 483-nucleotide ribosomal RNA is filed under the name uncultured bacterium. Its description in RNAcentral is "partial 16S ribosomal RNA". It matches the Rfam family "Bacterial small subunit ribosomal RNA", at positions 28 to 523 of the family's 1533-position model. The record is from RNAcentral.
GACGAACGCUGGCGGCGUGCUUAACACAUGCAAGCCGCACGGUAAGGCCCCUUCGGGGGUACACGAGUGGCGAACGGGUGAGUAACACGUGAGCAACCUGCCCUUGACUCUGGGAUAACAGUUGGAAACAGCUGCUAAUACCGGAUACGACCUUCGAUGACAUCAUCUGGAGGUGGAAAGCGCUUUAGCGGUCAAGGAUGGGCUCGCGGCCUAUCAGCUUGUUGGUGAGGUAACGGCUCACCAAGGCUUCGACGGAUAGCCGGCCGGAGAGGGCGACCGGACACACGGGGACGGAGAUACGGCCCAGACUCCUACGGGAGGCAGCAGUGGGGAAUAUUGCACAUUGGGCGCAAGCCUGAUGCAGCGACGCCGCGUGCGGGAUGACGGCCUUCGGGUUGUAAACCGCUUUCAGUUCCGACGAAGCGCAAGUGACGGUAGGAACAGAAGAAGGACCGGCCAACUACGUGCCAGCCGCCGCCGUAA